AGAGUUUGAUCCUGGCUCAGAUUGAACGCUGGCGGCAGGCCUAAGACAUGCAAGUCGAGCGAGAAAGCCCUUCGGGGUGAGUACAGCGGCGGACGGGUGAGUAACGCGUAGGAAUCUACCCAGUAGUGGGGGACAACUAGUGGAAACGCUAGCUAAUACCGCAUACGCCCUAAGGGGGAAAGCGGGGGAUCUUCGGACCUCGUGCUAUUGGAUGAGCCUGCGUAAGAUUAGCUUGUUGGUGAGGUAAUGGCUCACCAAGGCUACGAUCUUUAGCUGGUCUGAGAGGAUGAUCAGCCACACCGGGACUGAGACACGGCCCGGACUCCUACGGGAGGCAGCAGUCGGGAAUAUUGCGCAAUGGGGGAAACCCUGACGCAGCCAUGCCGCGUGUGUGAAGAAGGCCUUAGGGUUGUAAAGCACUUUCAAUUGGGAGGAAAAGCUAAUGGUUAAUAGCCAUUAGCCCUGACGUUACCUUUAGAAGAAGCACCGGCUAACUCCGUGCCAGCAGCCGCGGUAAUACGGAGGGUGCAAGCGUUAAUCGGAAUUACUGGGCGUAAAGCGCGCGUAGGCGGCUCUUUAAGUCGGAUGUGAAAGCCCCGGGCUCAACCUGGGAACUGCAUCCGAUACUGGAGGGCUAGAGUGUAGGAGAGGGAGGUAGAAUUCCAUGUGUAGCAGUGAAAUGCGUAGAUAUAUGGAGGAAUACCAGUGGCGAAGGCGGCCUCCUGGCUUAACACUGACGCUGAGGUGCGAAAGCGUGGGGAGCAAACGGGAUUAGAUACCCCGGUAGUCCACGCCGUAAACGAUGUCUACUAGUUGUAGGGGUACUUGAGACCUUUGUAGCGCAGCUAACGCAAUAAGUAGACCGCCUGGGGAGUACGGCCGCAAGGUUAAAACUCAAAUGAAUUGACGGGGGCCCGCACAAGCAGUGGAGCAUGUGGUUUAAUUCGAUGCAACGCGAAGAACCUUACCAGGCCUUGACAUCCCCGGAACUUUCUAGAGAUAGAUUGGUGCCUUCGGGAACCGGGUGACAGGUGCUGCAUGGCUGUCGUCAGCUCGUGUCGUGAGAUGUUGGGUUAAGUCCCGUAACGAGCGCAACCCUUGUCCUUAGUUGCCAGCACAUAAUGGUGGGAACUCUAAGGAGACUGCCGGUGACAAACCGGAGGAAGGUGGGGACGACGUCAAGUCAUCAUGGCCCUUACGGCCUGGGCUACACACGUGCUACAAUGGCUAGGACAGACGGCUGCAAACCAGCGAUGGGGAGCUAAUCCGACAAACCUAGUCGUAGUCCGGAUUGGAGUCUGCAACUCGACUCCAUGAAGUCGGAAUUGCUAGUAAUCGCGAAUCAGAAUGUCGCGGUGAAUACGUUCCCGGGCCUUGUACACACCGCCCGUCACACCAUGGGAGUGGGUUGCUCCAGAAGUGGUUAGUCUAACCUUCGGGAGGACGAUCACCACGGAGUGAUUCAUGACUGGGGUGAAGUCGUAACAAGGUAACC
This 1495-nucleotide ribosomal RNA is filed under the name uncultured Gammaproteobacteria bacterium. Its description in RNAcentral is "uncultured gamma proteobacterium 16S ribosomal RNA". It matches the Rfam family "Bacterial small subunit ribosomal RNA". Lineage: Bacteria; Pseudomonadati; Pseudomonadota; Gammaproteobacteria. The record is from RNAcentral.